CUACGGGGGGCUGCAGUGGGGAAUAUUGGACAAUGGGCGGAAGCCUGAUCCAGCCAUGCCGCGUGUGUGAAGAAGGCCUUUUGGUUGUAAAGCACUUUAAGCGAGGAGGAGGCUCCUUUAGUUAAUACCUAAAGUGAGUGGACGUUACUCGCAGAAUAAGCACCGGCUAACUCUGUGCCAGCAGCCGCGGUAAUACAGAGGGUGCGAGCGUUAAUCGGAUUUACUGGGCGUAAAGCGUGCGUAGGCGGCUUUUUAAGUCGGAUGUGAAAUCCCUGAGCUUAACUUAGGAAGUGCAUUCGAUACUGGAAAGCUAGAGUAUGGGAGAGGAUGGUAGAAUUCCAGGUGUAGCGGUGAAAUGCGUAGAGAUCUGGAGGAAUACCGAUGGCGAAGGCAGCCAUCUGGCCUAAUACUGACGCUGAGGUACGAAAGCAUGGGGAGCAAACAGGAUUAGAUACCCCGGUAGUC
RNAcentral lists this ribosomal RNA (465 nucleotides) under uncultured bacterium. RNAcentral describes it as "partial 16S ribosomal RNA". It matches the Rfam family "Bacterial small subunit ribosomal RNA", at positions 339 to 795 of the family's 1533-position model. The record is from RNAcentral.